CUGCAGAAUGCACACCCCAGGCUUCUCUGAAAUUAUAGAUUCAUGACAAAAGCCCCAUUGCUUGUGCCAAAAUGAUGAUGUUGGUAUUGCAGUUCAGGUCUUCUUUUCACUCCAUGGCUCAGGUGCAUCAAUCAUUGCCACAUCU
Small nucleolar RNA from Quercus robur (English oak), 145 nucleotides. RefSeq annotates it as small nucleolar RNA snoR134. The transcript has a single exon. NCBI's taxonomy places the organism in Eukaryota, Viridiplantae, Streptophyta, Magnoliopsida, Fagales, Fagaceae. The record is from RefSeq and is a predicted model, not a curated record.